This 72-nucleotide transfer RNA is filed under the name Ictidomys tridecemlineatus (thirteen-lined ground squirrel). Its description in RNAcentral is "Spermophilus tridecemlineatus (thirteen-lined ground squirrel) tRNA". It matches the Rfam family "tRNA". From Rfam's summary of the family: Transfer RNA (tRNA) molecules are approximately 80 nucleotides in length. Their secondary structure includes four short double-helical elements and three loops (D, anti-codon, and T loops). Lineage: Eukaryota; Metazoa; Chordata; Mammalia; Rodentia; Sciuridae. The record is from Rfam by way of RNAcentral.
GGGGCUGUGGCUCAGUGAUAGAGCGCUCGCCUAGCAUGCAUGAGAUGUUGGGUUCGAUCCUCACCACCACCA